RNAcentral lists this ribosomal RNA (547 nucleotides) under uncultured bacterium. RNAcentral describes it as "bacterial SSU rRNA". It matches the Rfam family "Bacterial small subunit ribosomal RNA", at positions 355 to 896 of the family's 1533-position model. The record is from RNAcentral.
UGGGGAAUAUUGCGCAAUGGGGGGAACCCUGACGCAGCCAUGCCGCGUGAAUGAAGAAGGCCUUAGGGUUGUAAAGUUCUUUCGGUAUUGAGGAAGGUUGAUGUGUUAAUAGCACAUCAAAUUGACGUUAAAUACAGAAGAAGCACCGGCUAACUCCGUGCCAGCAGUCGCGGUAAUACGGAGGGUGCGAGCGUUAAUCGGAAUAACUGGGCGUAAAGGGCACGCAGGCGGUUAUUUAAGUGAGGUGUGAAAGCCCUGGGCUUAACCUAGGAAUUGCAUUUCAGACUGGGUAACUAGAGUACUUUAGGGAGGGGUAGAAUUCCACGUGUAGCGGUGAAAUGCGUAGAGAUGUGGAGGAAUACCGAAGGCGAAGGCAGCCCCUUGGGAAUGUACUGACGCUCAUGUGCGAAAGCGUGGGGAGCAAACAGGAUUAGAUACCCUGGUAGUCCACGCUGUAAACGCUGUCGAUUUGGGGGUUGGGGUUUAACUCUGGCGCCCGUAGCUAACGUGAUAAAUCGACCGCCUGGGGAGUACGGCCGCAAGGUUA